This 322-nucleotide ribosomal RNA is filed under the name uncultured eukaryote. Its description in RNAcentral is "partial 18S ribosomal RNA". It matches the Rfam family "Eukaryotic small subunit ribosomal RNA", at positions 1470 to 1796 of the family's 1831-position model. The record is from RNAcentral.
CCCUUAGAUGUUCUGGGCAGCACGCGCGCUACAAUGGUCUUCGCAAACGGAUGCAUUCUCGAAGGAGAAUGCCAAUCUUGGAAUCUAUGCCUUGGUCGGGACAGUUGCUUGCAAUUUUUCGACUCGAACCAGGAAUUCCUUGUAAUCGUGAUUCAUCACAUCACGAUGAAUACGUCCCUGCCCUUUGUACACACCGCCCGUCGCUCCUACCGAUCGGAUGGUCCGGUGAAGCCUCGGGAUUGUGGUUCUUGCCGCUUUAUUGUGGCGUGACCGCGAGAACUUGUCUAAACCUUAUCAUCUAGAGGAAGGUGAAGUCGUAACA